This 108-nucleotide ribosomal RNA is filed under the name Rhizophagus prolifer. The record is from RNAcentral. Lineage: Eukaryota; Fungi; Glomeromycota; Glomeromycetes; Glomerales; Glomeraceae.
CAGUCGUACCUGCGGACAAUCAGCUUUUGAGUGUGAUUAUGUGGAUUGUGAGGAGUUUAACACCUUCAUGCCUGCAUAUUCGUGCACUCGUGGGUGUACUUGCCCGUA